GCGCCUGUCAGCUAAUGGUAGGCUACGAGCCCCCCAAGCUCGAAGUCCGGGUUCGAAUCCCGGCAGGCGCA
Molecule: transfer RNA, 71 nt
Filed under: Candidatus Iainarchaeum sp.
Lineage: Archaea; Nanobdellati; Candidatus Iainarchaeota; Candidatus Iainarchaeia; Candidatus Iainarchaeales; Candidatus Iainarchaeaceae
Description: tRNA-Gly
Rfam family: tRNA
About the family: Transfer RNA (tRNA) molecules are approximately 80 nucleotides in length. Their secondary structure includes four short double-helical elements and three loops (D, anti-codon, and T loops). Further hydrogen bonds mediate the characteristic L-shaped molecular structure. tRNAs have two regions of fundamental functional importance: the anti-codon, which is responsible for specific mRNA codon recognition, and the 3' end, to which the tRNAs corresponding amino acid is attached (by aminoacyl-tRNA synthetases). tRNAs cope with the degeneracy of the genetic code in two manners: having more than one tRNA (with a specific anti-codon) for a particular amino acid; and 'wobble' base-pairing, i.e. permitting non-standard base-pairing at the 3rd anti-codon position.
Source: RNAcentral